RNAcentral lists this ribosomal RNA (430 nucleotides) under uncultured bacterium. RNAcentral describes it as "bacterial SSU rRNA". It matches the Rfam family "Bacterial small subunit ribosomal RNA", at positions 329 to 773 of the family's 1533-position model. The record is from RNAcentral.
UGCCAGACUCCUACGGGAGGCAGCAGUGGGGAAUAUUGGGCAAUGGGCGCAAGCCUGACCCAGCAACGCCGCGUGAAGGAAGAAGGCUUUCGGGUUGUAAACUUCUUUUGUCAGGGACGAAGCAAGUGACGGUACCUGACGAAUAAGCCACGGCUAACUACGUGCCAGCAGCCGCGGUAAUACGUAGGUGGCAAGCGUUAUCCGGAUUUACUGGGUGUAAAGGGCGUGUAGGCGGGGAAGCAAGUCAGAUGUGAAAACCACGGGCUCAACCUGUGGCCUGCAUUUGAAACUGUAUUUCUUGAGUGCUGGAGAGGGAAUCGGAAUUCCGUGUGUAGCGGUGAAAUGCGUAGAUAUACGGAGGAACACCAGUGGCGAAGGCGGAUUGCUGGACAGUAACUGACGCUGGAGAGCGAAAGCGUGGGGAGCAAAC